UGGGGAAUAUUGGACAAUGGGGGGAACCCUGAUCCAGCCAUGCCGCGUGUGUGAAGAAGGCCUUAUGGUUGUAAAGCACUUUAAGCGAGGAGGAGGGUACUGGUAUUAAUACUACCAGGUACUGGACGUUACUCGCAGAAUAAGCACCGGCUAACUCUGUGCCAGCAGCCGCGGUAAUACAGAGGGUGCGAGCGUUAAUCGGAUUUACUGGGCGUAAAGCGUGCGUAGGCGGCUAAUUGAGUCGGAUGUGAAAUCCCCGAGCUUAACUUGGGAAUUGCAUUCGAUACUGGUUAGCUAGAGUGUGGGAGAGGAUGGUAGAAUUCCAGGUGUAGCGCUGAAAUGCGUAGAGAUCUGGAGGAAUACCGAUGGCGAAGGCAGCCAUCUGGCCUAACACUGACGCUGAGGUACGAAAGCAUGGGGAGCAAACAGG
This 430-nucleotide ribosomal RNA is filed under the name Pseudomonadota bacterium. Its description in RNAcentral is "Proteobacteria bacterium partial 16S ribosomal RNA". It matches the Rfam family "Bacterial small subunit ribosomal RNA", at positions 355 to 776 of the family's 1533-position model. The record is from RNAcentral. Lineage: Bacteria; Pseudomonadati; Pseudomonadota.